UGCUGCAGGCGUCCUUUGCGGCAGGCGUCCGCGUCGCAAACUGGUCAUCUUGAAGCUGCGGCCUACUGAGAACAGACAAGGGCGCUGCCUCAUGAGCCAUGCCUCUCUUUGAUAUACAGAAAAGGCUGGGCCUUAAUUUAGAUCGCGGGUUGACAAUCCAAAGUGCUGAACAACCCUACAAGAAUCCUGCUCGAUGCCAUGCUUUUGAAAAAGAAUGGAUAGAAUGUGCGCAUGGAAUUGGUACUAUCCGGGCAGAGAAAGAGUGCAAGAUAGAAUUUGAUGAUUUCAUAGAAUGUAUAACUCGGGUGAAAACGAUUCAACGCUUGAAAGCCAUCCAGAAACAGCGGGAUAAGCUCAUAAAGGAAGGGAAAUAUACCCCUCCACCUCACCACUUGGGCCAGGAGGAGCCUAGACCCUGAACAGAGAGCAGCUGCUGAUGGCUGGAGACUGAUUUUCAUUCUCCACUGGAAAAAUUGUUUACUGAAAACUUCUUUAUCAAAAAACUCUACCCAGGCUUCACAGCACCAUGUACCAAGCACUCCGUCUUCUCGCGCCGUCACGUUGCCUUCUGCGAACUCCAGCCGCAGCCUCAGCUCCCGGCUCUAGCAGCACAGCUGUCCCCUCGUUCUGGGUCCCGAACGCGGCUCAAAUGGCAAGCCAGAAUUCCUUCUGGAUAGAAUAUACCUUUGGUGAACUCAAGGUCCCAAAUGAUAAGUAUUAUGGCACCCAGACUGUAAGAUCUACGAUGAACUUUAAGAUUGGAGGUGUGAUGGAAUGCAUGCCAGUCCCAGUUAUUAAAGCUUUUGGCAUCUUGAGCAGCUGCUGAAGUAAACCAGGACUAUGGUCUUGAUCCAAAGAUUGCUGAUGUGAUCAUGAAGGCGGCAGACGAGGUGGAUGAAGGUAAAUGAUCAUUUUCCUCUUGUGUGGCAGACUGGAUCCGGAACCCAGACGAAUAUGAAUGUAAAUGAAGUCAUUAGCAAUAGAGCAAUUGAAAUAUUAGGAGGUGAACUUGGUAGCAAGAGCCCUGUGCAUCCCAAUGAUCAUGUUAAUAAAAGCCAGAGCUCAAAUGAUAUUUUCCCCACAGCAAUGCACAUUGCUGCUGCAGUAGAGGUUCUUCAAGUGCUGUUACCAGGACUGCAGAAGCUCCAUGAUGCUCUCCAGGCAAAAUCCAAAGAGUUUGCACAGAUCAUCAAAAUGAGGCGUACUCACACACAGGAUGCUGUUUCCACUUAAUCUUGGGCAGGAAUUUAGUGGUUAUGUUCAACAAGUGGCCUAUGCAAUGGCGAGAAUCAAAGCUGCCAUGCCAAUGAUCUACGAGCUUGCAGCCGGAGGCACCGCUGUUGGGACUAGAGUUGGCUUCACAGAAAAAGUUGCUGCAAAAGUGGCUUCAUUCACGGGCUUGCCAUUUGUCACCACUCCAAAUAAAUUUGAAGCUCUGGCUGCUCAUGAUGCUCUGGUUGAGCUCAGUGGAGCCAUGAACACUACUGCUUGCAGUCUAAUGAAGACAGCAAAUUAUAUCCAUUUUUUGGGUUCUGGUCCUCGGUCAGGUCUAAGUGAACUGAUUUUGCCUGAAAAUCAACCAUGAAGCAGUAUCAUGCCAGGCAAAGUGACCCCCACUCAGUGUGAAGCAAUGACCAUGGUUGCAGCCCAGGUCAUGGGCAAUCAUGUCAUUGUGACUGUUAGAGGCAGCAGUGGACACUUUGAGUUGAACGUUUUUAAGCCAAUGAUGAUGAAGAAUGUGUUACACUCAGCCAGGCUGCUGGGGGAUGCUUCAGUUUCUUUCACAGAAAACUGUGUGGUGGGAAUCCAGGCCAACACAAAGGAUCAACAAGCUGAUGCAUGAGUCUCUAAUGUUGGUGACAGCUCUCAAUCCUCACAUAGGGAAUGACAAGGCAGCAAAGAUUGCUAAGACAGCACACAAAAAUGGAUCAACCUUAAAAGAAACUGCUAUUGAACUUGGCUAUCUCACAGCAGAGCAGUUUGAUCAGUGGGUAAAACCUAAGGACAUGCUGGGUCCAAAGUGAUCUAAAUAAAUGUAUAUUGAAAAUAAACAUAUAUAAAAU
Molecule: RNA transcript, 2063 nt
Organism: Nycticebus coucang (slow loris)
Lineage: Eukaryota; Metazoa; Chordata; Mammalia; Primates; Lorisidae
Gene: NDUFS5
Gene name: NADH:ubiquinone oxidoreductase subunit S5
Exons: 4
Source: RefSeq, a predicted model, not a curated record